RNAcentral lists this transfer RNA (62 nucleotides) under Eclysippe vanelli. RNAcentral describes it as "tRNA-Phe". Lineage: Eukaryota; Metazoa; Annelida; Polychaeta; Terebellida; Ampharetidae. The record is from RNAcentral.
GUUAUAAAGUAGGUUUAAAUACAAAUUAAAAACAAAUAUCCAAAAAUUAAUGGUUUGUGUUA